This 548-nucleotide unclassified non-coding RNA is filed under the name Hevea brasiliensis (rubber tree). The record is from RNAcentral. Lineage: Eukaryota; Viridiplantae; Streptophyta; Magnoliopsida; Malpighiales; Euphorbiaceae.
GAAGAAAUGGCAAAUGGGCAUGUCCCCUGGUUGAAGUUUGAGGACUUGAAAGGAAGGAUGGGUAGGGCUCCAUUGAGAAGUAUCCAUAUGACAAAUUGCCAAAGCUUCAACUCUAUCUCCAUUUUCACCUUCCAAAUUAAUUUUCAACACAUUAUUAUCUCCUUCUUGGUAAUGACAAUAAUAAAUUGCAUAAGGAUAUGGCAUAGUGUGACAAGCCACAAGCUUAGGAGCAGCAAUUUCCAUAGGGGUAUCAAAGAUUGUGUAAUUUUGAAAAUGGACAUUGGAUUUUGUGAGAUGUGAAGUUUUGACAAGUUUAAAUGAUGAUAAUGAAGAAGAUUUUGUGGGAAUUAUUAAGGAUGUUCUUACAAAAUCCAACAUUGAUUCCAUGGAAGUUGCACAAAAUUUGGUCUCUCCUUUGAUGGGUUUGAGCUCACAUUGUUGGAGGGUUUCUUUGACUGCUUGAGCUUGAUGGGAAUCUGAAGGGAAGGAGAAAUAAGAGAGGAUUUGAGGGAGUUGUUUGAGGGAGAAAGGGAUUGAAUCAGCUUUUU